Molecule: ribosomal RNA, 253 nt
Filed under: uncultured bacterium
Lineage: Bacteria
Description: partial 16S ribosomal RNA
Rfam family: Bacterial small subunit ribosomal RNA
Source: RNAcentral
UACGGAGGGUGCAAGCGUUAGUCGGAUUUAUUGGGCGUAAAGGGCGUGUAGGCGGCUAUGUAAGUCAGAUGUGAAAUCCCGAAGCUCAACUUCGGAACUGCAUUUGAAACUGCAUUGCUAGAGGGUAGGCGGGGAAAACGGAAUUCCACAAGUAGCGGUGAAAUGCGUAGAUAUGUGGAGGAACACCUGUGGCGUAGGCGGUUUUCUAGCUUACACCUGACGCUGAGGCGCGAAAGCAUGGGGAGCAAACAGG